ACACUCCUGCGGGAGGCAGCAGUGGGGAAUAUUGGACAAUGGGCGCAAGCCUGAUCCAGCCAUGCCGCGUGAGUGAUGAAGGCCCUAGGGUUGUAAAGCUCUUUCACCGGAGAAGAUAAUGACGGUAUCCGGAGAAGAAGCCCCGGCUAACUUCGUGCCAGCAGCCGCGGUAAUACGAAGGGGGCUAGCGUUGUUCGGAAUUACUGGGCGUAAAGCGCACGUAGGCGGAUCGAUCAGUCAGGGGUGAAAUCCCAGGGCUCAACCCUGGAACUGCCUUUGAUACUGUCGAUCUGGAGUAUGGAAGAGGUGAGUGGAAUUCCGAGUGUAGAGGUGAAAUUCGUAGAUAUUCGGAGGAACACCAGUGGCGAAGGCGGCUCACUGGUCCAUUACUGACGCUGAGGUGCGAAAGCGUGGGGAGCAAACAGGAUUAGAAACCCUGGUAGUCCCAUGA
This 451-nucleotide ribosomal RNA is filed under the name uncultured organism. RNAcentral's name for it is "partial 16S ribosomal RNA". It matches the Rfam family "Bacterial small subunit ribosomal RNA", at positions 333 to 800 of the family's 1533-position model. The record is from RNAcentral.